Molecule: ribosomal RNA, 395 nt
Filed under: uncultured bacterium
Lineage: Bacteria
Description: bacterial SSU rRNA
Rfam family: Bacterial small subunit ribosomal RNA
Source: RNAcentral
AUUGAACGCUGGCGGCAUGCCUUACACAUGCAAGUCGAACGGCAGCACGGGAGCAAUCCUGGUGGCGAGUGGCGAACGGGUGAGUAAUAUAUCGGAACGUGCCCAGUCGUGGGGAUAACGUAGCGAAAGCUACGCUAAUACCGCAUACGAUCUAUGGAUGAAAGCGGGGGAUCGCAAGACCUCGCGCGAUUGGAGCGGCCGAUAUCAGAUUAGGUAGUUGGUGAGGUAAAGGCUCACCAAGCCGACGAUCUGUAGCUGGUCUGAGAGGACGACCAGCCACACUGGGACUGAGACACGGCCCAGACUCCUACGGGAGGCAGCAGUGGGGAAUUUUUGGACAAUGGGCGCAAGCCUGAUCCAGCAAUGCCGCGUGCAGAUGAAGGCCUUCGGGUUGU